AUUGAACGCUGGCGGCAGGCCUAACACAUGCAAGUCGAGCGAGCGGGGGACGGGUGAGUAAUGUAUGGGGAUCUGCCUGAUGGAGGGGGAUAACUACUGGAAACGGUCGCUAAUACCGCAUACCCUCAGAUGAACCCAUAUGGGAUUAGCUUGUAGGUGGGGUAACGGCUCACCUAGGCGACGAUCCCUAGCUGGUCUGAGAGGAUGCACAGCCACACGGGGACGGAGACACGGCCCAGACUCCUACGGGAGGCAGCAGUGGGGAAUAUUGCACAAUGGGCGCAAGCCUGAUGCAGCCAUGCCGCGUGUAUGAAGAAGGCCUUCGGGUUGUAAAGUACUUUCAGUCGGGAGGCGUUACCGACAGAAGAAGCACCGGCUAACUCCGUGCCAGCAGCCGCGGUAAUAC
Molecule: ribosomal RNA, 406 nt
Filed under: uncultured bacterium
Lineage: Bacteria
Description: partial 16S ribosomal RNA
Rfam family: Bacterial small subunit ribosomal RNA
Source: RNAcentral